Cinara cedri is the source of this 259-nucleotide non-coding RNA. The record is from the annotation of a GenBank genome assembly. Lineage: Eukaryota; Metazoa; Arthropoda; Insecta; Hemiptera; Aphididae.
AAGGCAACCCAAAAAUCAUUGACAGUUACACAAUAACCUUAUUUAAAAUUGCCAGUUUUCCCCAUUUAUUAAGAAAAAUACAAGUCAAAUACAUAUCAAAAGAGGCGACCUAGAAUAAUGAAGACGAGUACAGUCACUGUUAUAAGUUAAUGGUUACCUAUAAGCAAUGAUAAGCUAUUACUAACGAAAAAAUGAUUCUGAGCGCAGUUCAGUUGAUAAUGAUGCUUUGUCAACAAUAUAUAUGUUAAAUUAUGGUCAA